CCUACGGGGCGCUGCAGUGGGGAAUAUUGCACAAUGGGCGCAAGCCUGAUGCAGCCAUGCCGCGUGUGUGAAGAAGGCCUUCGGGUUGUAAAGCACUUUCAGCGGGGAGGAAGGCGUUAAGGUUAAUAACCUUGUCGAUUGACGUUACCCACAGAAGAAGCACCGGCUAACUCCGUGCCAGCAGCCGCGGUAAUACGGAGGGUGCAAGCGUUAAUCGGAAUUACUGGGCGUAAAGCGCACGCAGGCGGUCUGUCAAGUCGGAUGUGAAAUCCCCGGGCGCAACCUGGGAACUGCAUUCGAAACUGGCAGGCUAGAGUCUUGUAGAGGGGGGUAGAAGUCCAGGUGUAGCGGUGAAAUGCGUAGAGAUCUGGAGGAAUACCGGUGGCGAAGGCGGCCCCCUGGACAAAGACUGACGCUCAGGUGCGAAAGCGUGGGGAGCAAACAGGAUUAGAUACCCUAGUAGUC
RNAcentral lists this ribosomal RNA (465 nucleotides) under uncultured Klebsiella sp. RNAcentral describes it as "bacterial SSU rRNA". It matches the Rfam family "Bacterial small subunit ribosomal RNA", at positions 338 to 795 of the family's 1533-position model. The record is from RNAcentral. Lineage: Bacteria; Pseudomonadati; Pseudomonadota; Gammaproteobacteria; Enterobacterales; Enterobacteriaceae.